GAGAGGGUCAGGAAAAAAGGAGUCUUAUAUAAGACUCUUUUUUCGCCCUUCCUUCGUCACAACCGGAGCUGUUACUAUAGUUACACCCCCACCCCCCCACAGGGAUGGCACAGCUGUGACUAGGAGAGCGUGCGAGCUCACAGACCCUCGUGCAAGGCAUCAGAGUGCUGUAUCUUUCCAUUCACCUUCAUAGCCUGCCACAGGUAAUCGCCACACUGCAGCACCAGCUUUUUGCCAUCGUGUUGGCGUGUCGAGCUGUCUGAAGUCACACAAGCAGCAAGCGGACAAGAAAGGGAGAACACAGCACAAUGUCCUGGAUGUUUGUGGACUGGUUCGUCCCAGUCUAUCUGCUUGUUUCGGUUCUGGUGCUGGCCGGGUUCGGGGCCUGCCUCUACUUCCUGGAGCCUGGUCUUCAGGACGCUCACAAGUGGAGCAACAAGUCCCUAAAGCACCAGCCUCUGGUGCCCACACUGCAUGACCACCGAGAUGAAGACAGCAGUGCGCUUAUAUGACACAAUGUGGAGGAUAAAGGGAUGUCCUCGGCGAUGAGCUGACACGUGCAAGACAAGUUCACCAAUAUUGCCAUGACUGGUCUCUUACAUUGAGAGCUCUCUGAUAGUUUGAAGUUUUCAUCGGUUAACACAUAAGUGGUUGAGAAUGAGUGCAUUUCUAGGAGACACUUCAAGCAAUUUUGGGGGAUAAUCUAAGUAGCACAAGCACUCUUCUGUUAUAGUAUCUUAAAGCUUCUACAGUUGGUGCUCUCAAAGUAUGGGAAUUUUCUUGAAUUUGGUGCAUAAAACCACAUGUAUGAACUGACAGCAGACAGAACAUUCCAUAGAACUAGUAAUAUAGACUGGUCGAAUGUUAUGGAAGUACUUCCAAGUCACUUUGUUAAUUCCCAGUUUGUGUUUAUAGACAAUACUUAAAACUGCAGGAAUGCCAAGUGUUUCCUACUGCAUGUUCUGUGUCACUAUAGUUCAUGUAGUAGACGUUUUUUUUUAAAAGAUAUUAUGUAUUUGUAAUUCGUCAUACAAGGUUUGCACCAUUCUUUUAGUUUGAGUUUCAUGGGUAAGUUCCACAAAGGAAAGAAACAACCAGAAAACAGCUAUUUAGCAACUGGUUGAAUACCAACCAUUUUGUGACCUGUGCCUAAUUUAUAGCAGAUUUUUUGCCCCACAUAUCUUAACAGUUCAAAUUCAUAUAACAACCUAUUAUGUUCAUUGUGGUCACCAAAAGUAUGACUUAUAUCUGAGAAUAGAUAAAUGUGAUUAGGUGAUGAGAUAUUCAUGUUGAGUGCUACAAUGUGCUAUCUAGAUGAAGUUUUACAAAAAUCUUUUUUAGAUAGGAAUGUCAGUCUUUGCAAUAAAUGGCAGAAUAUUUUAGCAGUUGUUGAAUAAAUGUGAGGCAAUGUCAAUGUUUAAUAACAAAAUGUGCUUAAAUCUCUAAUACUGUUAAUAGUCUGUAUGUUUGUAGCCUUCUGUGAAAAUACUAGGCUAUCUCAUGUUUCUUCUUAUUUUAGGGGCCAAUUUGCACAAUGCCUGCUUAUUUGUGUUUUAUUUAUUCUAAAUAUAUCAUUUGGAUAAUAUACAUUUUUACAACUUUCAUUGUAACAUUGUAAUUACAUUAUAUUGUAAUUACAACACUACAUUCCUCUUUUAGUGAUAGAUUUUGUUUCUUUUAAGUGAGUUGCCUGUUUGUUUUCACAAUAAAUGUAAUACAGUAAUAAAAGUGAUCAAUUUUAGGUAA
Electrophorus electricus (electric eel) is the source of this 1746-nucleotide non-coding RNA. The record is from RefSeq and is a predicted model, not a curated record. NCBI's taxonomy places the organism in Eukaryota, Metazoa, Chordata, Actinopteri, Gymnotiformes, Gymnotidae.